CCUACGGGUGGCAGCAGUAGGGAAUAUUGCUCAAUGGGGGAAACCCUGAAGCAGCAACGCCGCGUGGAGGAUGAAGGUUUUCGGAUUGUAAACUCCUUUUGUUAGAGACGAAAAUGACGGUAUCUAAAGAAUACGCACCGGAUAACUCCGUGCCAGCAGCCGCGGUAAUACGGCGGGUGAGAGCGUUAGUCGGAAUGACUGGGCGUAAAGAGCGCGUAGGCGGGUGAGCAAGUCAGAUGUGAAAUCCUCGGGCUUAACCAUAGAACUGCAUUUGAAACUGUUAGUCUAGAGUAUGGGAGAGGUAGGUGGAAUUCCUGGUGUAGCAGUGAAAUCCGUAGAGAUCAAGAGGAAUACUCAUUGCGAAGGCGACCUGCUAGAACGUAACUGACGCUGAUGCGCGAAAGCGUGGGGAGCAAACAGGAUUAGAUACCCCUGUAGUC
Molecule: ribosomal RNA, 440 nt
Filed under: uncultured bacterium
Lineage: Bacteria
Description: partial 16S ribosomal RNA
Rfam family: Bacterial small subunit ribosomal RNA
Source: RNAcentral